AAAGAAUUAGUUAAAUUAACCUUAGUAUGUCAUGCUAAAAUUACUAGUCUAUACCCUAGUAUUCUUUA
This 68-nucleotide transfer RNA is filed under the name Claassenia sp. 2 YNX-2023a. RNAcentral describes it as "tRNA-Asp". The record is from RNAcentral. Lineage: Eukaryota; Metazoa; Arthropoda; Insecta; Plecoptera; Perlidae.